AUACCUAUGGACACGAGAGCGCGACGGCUACGACGACGAUGAUGAUGAUGACGACGACGACGACUCGUCGAUGUUAUAUCGAUGACGCAGAAGAUGUGUGUGUGCGCGCGUGUGUGUGCACGUCCGAGAGUCUAUUAACGCGGCAUUGUUCCGAGCAAAACCACGUGGAAAUAACGACUACAAUAAUAUACAACGUGUACGGUUCA
Non-coding RNA from Cinara cedri, 206 nucleotides. Lineage: Eukaryota; Metazoa; Arthropoda; Insecta; Hemiptera; Aphididae. The record is from the annotation of a GenBank genome assembly.